This 229-nucleotide ribosomal RNA is filed under the name uncultured bacterium. RNAcentral describes it as "partial 16S ribosomal RNA". It matches the Rfam family "Bacterial small subunit ribosomal RNA", at positions 568 to 796 of the family's 1533-position model. The record is from RNAcentral.
UGCGCAGGUGGGGAUGUAAGUCAGUGGUGAAAUGUUGCCGCUCAACGGUAAAAUUGCCAUUGAUACUGCAUCUCUUGAGUAUGGUUGGGGUAGGCGGAAUGUGUUGUGUAGCGGUGAAAUGCAUAGAUAUGACACAGAACACCGAUUGCGAAGGCAGCUUACUAAGCCAUAACUGACGCUGAGGCACGAAAGCGUGGGGAGCGAACAGGAUUAGCUACCCUGGUAGUCC